UCCAACUGCAGAGAUGAAGAAGCUGAGGUCUUAAGAGGUUUAGGUAACUUGCCUUGGGCCCAACAUCCAGUAAAGAAGAGAGCCAGAUCAGACUCCAUUCUUGACUCUCAUUCUAGCACUUCCUCUCCUACCCUUCUUGUCUACAAAUUUGAGGAUUUCUUAUCAUUUAUGCAUUUAUCCAUCCAUCUAGUAGAAGAUUCUGUGUUAAACAAAGACUUCCUUACGGUGAAUACACCUGGAACUUAUUGGCUCAAGCUGGAGAGGCAAGCAAGGAUUAUGGACUUUUCUGCUAGAUGGAUGGACUUUCACAGUAACUUGGAAACAUGGCUUAAAAGGAUGGAAAUUAAGAGAUAUUCUCCAGCCUGCAAAAUAGACAUAUUUCGGCCCUUUUCCUGAAAUGCAGUUUAUUUAGUCUUAAAUAUAUAGUAACUUAAAAAGUGUUGCUUUUUCUUUUAAAUAAACAGUUGUUUGGUGAUUUUAUUUCUGACAUUAAGGAGUUGUCAUGCAUGUCUCUGUAUUUGAGAUACUUUAGAAAACUGGAUUUUGGCCCUGAAGGGUGGACCCAGAGCUCUAGUAAAACCUCUUGGUUUAGAUUCAGCUGCUUCCCAUAUGCACUAAAGGAUAAGGCUGUGUGCUAAAAAGAGUUAUGAAAUAUUUAUUGAGAAAAAAAUACAGUACAUGUGCAG
Choloepus didactylus (southern two-toed sloth) is the source of this 686-nucleotide long non-coding RNA. RefSeq lists it as uncharacterized. The record is from RefSeq and is a predicted model, not a curated record. Lineage: Eukaryota; Metazoa; Chordata; Mammalia; Pilosa; Megalonychidae. The transcript has 3 exons.